GAUGAAGAACGUAGCGAAAUGCGAUACGUAAUGUGAAUUGCAGAAUUCAGUGAAUCAUCGAGUCUUUGAACGCACAUUGCGCCCCCUGGUAUUCCGGGGGGCAUGCCUGUCCGAGCGUCAUUGCUGCCCUCAAGCACGGCUUGUGUGUUGGGCCUCCGUCCUCCUCCCGGGGGACGGGCCCGAAAGGCAGCGGCGGCACCGCGUCCGGUCCUCGAGCGUAUGGGGCUUCGUCACCCGCUCUUGUAGGCCCGGUCGGCGCUUGCCGACACAUCAAUCUUUUUUCCAGGUUGACCUCGGAUCAGGUAGGGAUACCCGCUGAACUUAAGCAUAUCAAUAACGGAGGA
RNAcentral lists this unclassified non-coding RNA (344 nucleotides) under soil metagenome. RNAcentral describes it as "partial contains 5.8S ribosomal RNA, internal transcribed spacer 2, and large subunit ribosomal RNA". The stretch from base 1 to 120 matches the Rfam family "5.8S ribosomal RNA", at positions 35 to 154 of the family's 154-position model. The record is from RNAcentral.